Molecule: ribosomal RNA, 484 nt
Filed under: uncultured bacterium
Lineage: Bacteria
Description: partial 16S ribosomal RNA
Rfam family: Bacterial small subunit ribosomal RNA
Source: RNAcentral
AUUGAACGCUGGCGGCAGGCCUAACACAUGCAAGUCGAGCGGAUGAAGGGAGCUUUCUCCUGGAUUCAGCGGCGGACGGGUGAGUAAUGCCUAGGAAUCUGCCUGGUAGUGAGGGAUAACGUCCGGAAACGGGCGCUAAUACCGCAUACGUCCUUAGGGAGAAAGUGGGGGAUCUUCGGUCCUCACGCUAUCAGAUGAGCCUAGGUCGGAUUAGCUAGUUGGUGGGGUAAAGGCCUACCAAGGCGACGAUCCGUAACUGGUCUGAGAGGGUGAUCAGUCACACUGGAACUGAGACACGGUCCAGACUCCUACGGGAGGCAGCAGUGGGGAAUAUUGGACAAUGGGCGAAAGCCUGACCCAGCCAUGCCGCGUGUGUGAAGAAGGUCUUCGGAUUGUAAAGCACUUUAAGUUGGGAGGAAGGGCAGUAAGAUAAUACCUUCAUGUUUUGACGUUACCAACAGAAAAAGCACCGGCUAACUUCGUG